This 302-nucleotide ribosomal RNA is filed under the name uncultured bacterium. RNAcentral describes it as "partial 16S ribosomal RNA". It matches the Rfam family "Bacterial small subunit ribosomal RNA", at positions 508 to 807 of the family's 1533-position model. The record is from RNAcentral.
GCAGCCGCCGCGGGAAUAGGUAGGUGGCAAGCGUUGUCCGGAAUUAUUGGGCGUAAAGGGCUCGCAGGCGGUUUCUUAAGUCUGAUGUGAAAGCCCCCGGCUCAACCGGGGAGGGUCAUUGGAAACUGGGAAACUUGAGUGCAGAAGAGGAGAGUGGAAUUCCACGUGUAGCGGUGAAAUGCGUAGAGAUGUGGAGGAACACCGGUGGCGAAGGCGACUCUCUGAUCUGUAACUGACGCUGAGGAGCGAAAGCGUGGGGAGCGAACAGGAUUAGAUACCCCGGUAGUCCCUGUCUCUUAUAC